GUGGGGAAUAUUGGUCAAUGGGGGAAACCCUGAACCAGCAACGCCGCGUGAAGGAAGAAGGCUUUCGGGUUGUAAACUUCUUUUAUGUGGGACGAAAAAAAUGACGGUACCACAUGAAUAAGCCACGGCUAACUACGUGCCAGCAGCCGCGGUAAUACGUAGGUGGCAAGCGUUGUCCGGAUUUACUGGGUGUAAAGGGCGCGUAGGCGGAUGUGCAAGUCAGAUGUGAAAUACCAGGGCUCAACCCUGGGGCUGCAUUUGAAACUGUGCAUCUUGAGUGAUGGAGAGGCAAGCGGAAUUCCUAGUGUAGCGGUGAAAUGCGUAGAUAUUAGGAGGAACACCAGUGGCGAAGGCGGCUUGCUGGACAUUAACUGACGCUGAGGCGCGAAAGCGUGGGGAGCAAACAGGAUUAGAUACCCCGGUAGUCC
RNAcentral lists this ribosomal RNA (428 nucleotides) under uncultured bacterium. RNAcentral describes it as "partial 16S ribosomal RNA". It matches the Rfam family "Bacterial small subunit ribosomal RNA", at positions 354 to 796 of the family's 1533-position model. The record is from RNAcentral.